ACGUCCGUCGUGAAGAGGGAAACAACCCAGACCGCCAGCUAAGGUCCCAAAGUCAUGGUUAAGUGGGAAACGAUGUGGGAAGGCCCAGACAGCCAGGAUGUUGGCUUAGAAGCAGCCAUCAUUUAAAGAAAGCGUAAUAGCUCACUGGUCGAGUCGGCCUGCGCGGAAGAUGUAACGGGGCUAAACCAUGCACCGAAGCUGCGGCAGCGACGCUUAUGCGUUGUUGGGUAGGGGAGCGUUCUGUAAGCCUGUGAAGGUGUGCUGUGAGGCAUGCUGGAGGUAUCAGAAGUGCGAAUGCUGACAUAAGUAACGAUAAAGCGGGUGAAAAGCCCGCUCGCCGGAAGACCAAGGGUUCCUGUCCAACGUUAAUCGGGGCAGGGUGAGUCGACCCCUAAGGCGAGGCCGAAAGGCGUAGUCGAUGGGAAACAGGUUAAUAUUCCUGUACUUGGUGUUACUGCGAAGGGGGGACGGAGAAGGCUAUGUUGGCCGGGCGACGGUUGUCCCGGUUUAAGCGUGUAGGCUGAUUUUCCAGGCAAAUCCGGAAAAUCAAGGCUGAGGCGUGAUGACGAGGCACUACGGUGCUGAAGCAACAAAUGCCCUGCUUCCAGGAAAAGCCUCUAAGCAUCAGGUAACAUCAAAUCGUACCCCAAACCGACACAGGUGGUCAGGUAGAGAAUACCAAGGCGCUUGAGAGAACUCGGGUGAAGGAACUAGGCAAAAUGGUGCCGUAACUUCGGGAGAAGGCACGCUGAUAUGUAGGUGAAGUCCCUCGCGGAUGGAGCUGAAAUCAGUCGAAGAUACCAGCUGGCUGCAACUGUUUAUUAAAAACACAGCACUGUGCAAACACGAAAGUGGACGUAUACGGUGUGACGCCUGCCCGGUGCCGGAAGGUUAAUUGAUGGGGUCAGCGCAAGCGAAGCUCUUGAUCGAAGCCCCGGUAAACGGCGGCCGUAACUAUAACGGUCCUAAGGUAGCGAAAUUCCUUGUCGGGUAAGUUCCGACCUGCACGAAUGGCGUAAUGAUGGCCAGGCUGUCUCCACCCGAGACUCAGUGAAAUUGAACUCGCUGUGAAGAUGCAGUGUACCCGCGGCAAGACGGAAAGACCCCGUGAACCUUUACUAUAGCUUGACACUGAACAUUGAGCCUUGAUGUGUAGGAUAGGUGGGAGGCUUUGAAGUGUGGACGCCAGUCUGCAUGGAGCCGGCCUUGAAAUACCACCCUUUAAUGUUUGAUGUUCUAACGUGGACCCGUAAUCCGGGUUGCGGACAGUGUCUGGUGGGUAGUUUGACUGGGGCGGUCUCCUCCUAAAGAGUAACGGAGGAGCACGAAGGUUGGCUAAUCCUGGUCGGACAUCAGGAGGUUAGUGCAAUGGCAUAAGCCAGCUUGACUGCGAGCGUGACGGCGCGAGCAGGUGCGAAAGCAGGUCAUAGUGAUCCGGUGGUUCUGAAUGGAAGGGCCAUCGCUCAACGGAUAAAAGGUACUCCGGGGAUAACAGGCUGAUACCGCCCAAGAGUUCAUAUCGACGGCGGUGUUUGGCACCUCGAUGUCGGCUCAUCACAUCCUGGGGCUGAAGUAGGUCCCAAGGGUAUGGCUGUUCGCCAUUUAAAGUGGUACGCGAGCUGGGUUUAGAACGUCGUGAGACAGUUCGGUCCCUAUCUGCCGUGGGCGCUGGAGAACUGAGGGGGGCUGCUCCUAGUACGAGAGGACCGGAGUGGACGCAUCACUGGUGUUCGGGUUGUCAUGCCAAUGGCACUGCCCGGUAGCUAAAUGCGGAAGAGAUAAGUGCUGAAAGCAUCUAAGCACGAAACUUGCCCCGAGAUGAGUUCUCCCUGACCCUUUAAGGGUCCUGAAGGAACGUUGAAGACGACGACGUUGAUAGGCCGGGUGUGUAAGCGCAGCGAUGCGUUGAGCUAACCGGUACUAAUGAACCGUGAGGCUUAACCUUACAACGCCGAAG
This 1957-nucleotide ribosomal RNA is filed under the name Escherichia coli. Its description in RNAcentral is "partial 23S ribosomal RNA". It matches the Rfam family "Bacterial large subunit ribosomal RNA", at positions 1001 to 2925 of the family's 2925-position model. The record is from RNAcentral. Lineage: Bacteria; Pseudomonadati; Pseudomonadota; Gammaproteobacteria; Enterobacterales; Enterobacteriaceae.